AAUGCCUUCUCCCGCAGCCUUGAAGUCCAAGAAGAUGAUGAAGGAGAAUGGUGGCCAAAAGAUCACAAGAAGAAUGCCCAAAAGGCCUUUAAAACCUAAUUUUGGGAUGCUAUGAGGCCACCCAUGCGGCCCCGCAUGCGGGGAGAGAAAGUUUCCGAGAAAUCCAGAAAAUCGCGUAAGUUGCUACAGUGCCGCUACAUUAAUUUUGCUACAGUGGAAUUGCUACAGCCGUAUGCGGCCUCUGCAGUGCCCGCAUGGUUGCCCGCAUGAUCUUUUAGACUUAGCCUUUUUGCCAAAGGUUUCAUGCUACAGUGCUGCUACAGUAUCCCGCUACAGUACCGGAGCUCAAAAAUGGUCUUUUUCCUGCCGAUUUCUUCUAAAAUCAUAUUGUCGAGGUCCCCACGGUAUCUUCUGUGCCUGUAACACGAAAUAAACCAAUUCAGACCGAAAACGGGCAUCCACACAUACAACAAUACUCUAUAAAUACGCAAACAUACAUAAAUAAUACGUAUAGUUAGGCAUUUAUCAGUUUUCAUUGAUCAAGAACGAAAGUUGGGGGAUAGAAGACGAUCAGAUACUGUCCUAGUCUCAACCAUAAACGAUACUGACCAGGGAUCGGCGGAUGUUACUUUAAGGACUCCGCCGGCACCUUAUGAGAAAUCAAAGUCUUUGGGUUCCGGGGGGAGUAUGGUCGCAAGGCUGAAACUUAAAGGAAUUGACGGAAGGGCACCACCAGGUCUGGAGCCUGCGGCUUAAUUUGACUCAACACGGGGAAACUUACCAGUCCAGUCAUAGCAAGGAUUGACAGACUAAGAGCUCUUUCUUGAUUCUAUGGGUGGUGGUGCAUGGCCGUUCUUAGUUGGUGGAGCGAUUUGUCUGGUUAAUUACGAUAACGAGCGAGACCUCAGCCUGCUAACUAGCUAUGCGGAGGAAUCCCUCCGCGGCCAGCUUCUUAGAGGGACUGCGGCCGUUUAGGCCACGGAAGUUUGAGGCAAUAACAGGUCUGUGAUGCCCUUAGAUGUUCUAGGCCGCACGCGCGCUACACUGAUGUAUUCAACGAGUCUAUAGCCUUGGCCGACAGGCCCGGGUAAUCAUCACAAUUGUUGGACUUCAACGAGGAAUUCCUAGUAAGCGUGGGUCAUCAGCUCGCGUUGACUACGUCCCUGCCCUUUGUACACACCGCCCGUCGCUCCUACCGAUUGAAUGGUCCGGUGAAGUGUUCGGAUCGCGGCGACGGGAGCGGACUCGCCGCCCGCAACGUCGCGAGAAGUCCACUGAACCUUAUCAUUUAGUGGAAGGAGAAGUCGUAACAAGGUUUCCGUAGGUGAACCUUCGGAAGG
Molecule: ribosomal RNA, 1340 nt
Filed under: Dioscorea alata (purple yam)
Lineage: Eukaryota; Viridiplantae; Streptophyta; Magnoliopsida; Dioscoreales; Dioscoreaceae
Description: SSU rRNA
Rfam family: Eukaryotic small subunit ribosomal RNA (bases 319-1340)
Source: RNAcentral